RNAcentral lists this ribosomal RNA (497 nucleotides) under uncultured bacterium. RNAcentral describes it as "partial 16S ribosomal RNA". It matches the Rfam family "Bacterial small subunit ribosomal RNA", at positions 28 to 507 of the family's 1533-position model. The record is from RNAcentral.
GAUGAACGCUGGCGGCGUGCCUAAUACAUGCAAGUCGAGCGGACAGACGAGGAGCUUGCUCCUCUGACGUUAGCGGCGGACGGGUGAGUAACACGUGGAUAACCUACCUAUAAGACUGGGAUAACUUCGGGAAACCGGAGCUAAUACCGGAUAAUAUAUUGAACCGCAUGGUUCAAUAGUGAAAGACGGUUUUGCUGUCACUUAUAGCUGGAUACGCGCCGCAUUAGCUAGUUGGUAAGGUAACGGCUUACCAAGGCAACGAUGCGUAGCCGACCUGAGAGGGUGAUCGGCCACACUGGAACUGAGACACGGUCCAGACUCCUACGGGAGGCAGCAGUAGGGAAUCUUCCGCAAUGGGCGAAAGCCUGACGGAGCAACGCCGCGUGAGUGAUGAAGGUCUUCGGAUCGUAAAACUCUGUUAUUAGGGAAGAACAAAUGUGUAAGUAACUAUGCACGUCUUGACGGUACCUAAUCAGAAAGCCACGGCUAACUACGUG